This is a long non-coding RNA of Budorcas taxicolor (takin), 680 nucleotides long. RefSeq lists it as uncharacterized. NCBI's taxonomy places the organism in Eukaryota, Metazoa, Chordata, Mammalia, Artiodactyla, Bovidae. The record is from RefSeq and is a predicted model, not a curated record. The transcript is spliced from 3 exons.
GGGAUGGUCUGUGCCCAGAACAUAAAGAGCACAGGUCCCUGUAGGGGAGAUUCUGGGAGUCCCCUGGUCUGUCAGUUUCAGACAUCAUGGGUCCAGGUGGGGACUGUGAGCUGGGGUGAUCGCUGUGGUUUGAAAGAAGUGCCUGCAGUGUACACAGAUGUUAGUUUCUACAAGGACUGGAUCACUGCAAGAAUGAGUCAGGCAUCGGGUCUGGACUCUGGAUUCCUUAUUCUGCUACUGUGUCUGUUGCUGCCUCUGGGCAUCCUGGCAACCCUGUGAUCACCCUGGCCUCUGCCAUUUCUGCUUCUGAGUGUCACAUUAGCCCUGCCUCUGAGAUGCCUCUCCUACUCAAUGCCCUGUCCUCAAAUCCGUUUGGGGUCCACUGAUCCUGUGGAGAUCCACAGGACAGAGUGGCUGCGAGUGAAGACCGAAAUGGUACCUGCCUGGUGCUCCAGGAACCUGCCUCAUCGAGGCCUAUCUGUAGGCCGUGCUCUGCUUGCCAGGAAGGAGUGGGUGAAACCUUCUCACUUGGAUGGACAGCGACCUGCCAGCUGAAAAGAGCAUGUGUACCACAACUAAACACUGCUGCUGCCGCCAAGUCACUUCAGUCGUGUCCAGCUCUGUGCGACCCCAUGGGCGGCAGCCGACCAGGCUCCCCCGUCCCUGGGAUUCUCCAGGUG